AGAAUAAGGGAUGUCAAUUUAGGGAAAGAAAUGAGAUAAUAAAGAAGAGGGGGUCAUUGAAAGUGUAGAAAGUACAAGUGAUUGGUAGAGUAGCAACUUCUUCUACAAGGAGAGAGGUAUGAUAGAGACAUAACACCAAGUGAAAAAAUUGUGAAAGUAAUAAAAUGUAACGAAAUGAAUGCAUGAUAUCGUCUAUAAGGCAUAUAGCAAAUGUUUAUAAGGAUAGUGACCCUAACUUCACCCUUUGUCUAAGCAAACUAAGACCCCUUUUCUCUUAGUGUGUGUCUCUCUUAUUUCUCACCCCCCAUUCAUUUUUACCUACCAUGAACAUCAUCUACUCCCUCUUUUCAUCAUGGGAUGGCUUCAAUCCCUCUUCUCUCCAUUGAAGAAGCUUUGGUUUCGUCUUCACUCUGCUCCGAAGAAGAGAAGAGGGAUAUAUAUACUCUACGAGGAUGUUAAAUCUUGCCCUUGUGAAGAUGUUCAAGUGCUUUGGUCCAUACUAGUGGAGUCUCAUCCACAUUCUUUGCCACCACGAAAAUGAGGGACUUAUGGGAGGGGAGAUUUAAUUUACAGUCACAUGUACAUAUAUAUCACACCACUUUUGUCCCAACCUAGGUUUUCUUUGUUCAAGUUUUCUAUCUUUUGUGAGUAAGUUCCAUCUGAAAAGUUUUUAAGUUAUUGAAACUUAUGUCUUUCUCUUGAUUUUAGUUGUACAUUCUUCAAGAUGUGGUAAAUAUUUAUAAGUAACUUUUUA
Molecule: long non-coding RNA, 754 nt
Organism: Solanum pennellii
Lineage: Eukaryota; Viridiplantae; Streptophyta; Magnoliopsida; Solanales; Solanaceae
Exons: 2
Source: RefSeq, a predicted model, not a curated record